AUCUUCUUAAAGGAAAAGUCUACCAUAUUCUAUUUUUCUCUUAAAAACUUUUUCCCCUUCAUCAGUUUAUAACAUUCCUUUUAGUUUGAGUUUCAGAUCUUUCAAUGGAUUGCUUCUGUACUUUGAAAUACUGCGUCCAAAAUCCACUGGUGGUGACCAAUACUAACAAUCCCCGCCCUCACCAUCCAUCUCAUGUAAUAUGGGAUUUCAUUUGCAGUUCGCAGAUGGGCUUGAAAAGAUCAAGAACGAAAAAAAGAAAAGCCCAUAUCAAAACGCGGAGGAUUGUUCAUACAAAUUCUUUACGUCUAAAAGAAGCCACUCGUUCUUCCUCACUGGAGCGACGAUCCGGAGAUUUCUCGAAGAUCCGUUCUCUUGAUCAUCCUCUCUCUCAGAUCCAUCAAGCUGAUAACAAUGUCCGAUGAAGAAACGAAACCUUUUCUGAAGAGCAGGAUGUAUGAGUCGAGGUAUCCUUCGAGAGGUGAUAUUGUAAUGGGCAAAGUCAAGAAAAUUGAAGGGCGAGAAGCUGUAGUGUGGCUUGUUGAGUACAAGAAGAGUUGCAAGGUCGUUUUGUCUGCAACAGUACCUCCAGUUCGAGUACUUGCAGAGAAGAGGAUGGAGGCAUUUCGAGUUGCUGAUGUGAGUGUUGAAGAGAGGCAAAUCAUCCUUGAUGAAACACCGCUGUCGAAGGCUGAGAUGUGGGCGUUUGAGAAGCGAUUCAACGAGGCAAAGUUCGUCCAUUCCGUCCUCUUUAGUGUUGCUGAUGAUCUGCAUAUGAAUUUGAAGGAUGCUUAUAAACUUUGUGACUGGCCUUCCUAUGAAGAGCUGAAGACAUUGCACAGAGAUGAGAACUUCCUUGCUUGCAAGAAUGUCUCCUUCAGAAAGCUGCUUCUUGACAGGAUUGGUCUUAUGAAGUACAAUUCAUGGAGAGUGAACGAUCCAAGUCGGCUUCAAACAUCUUCACUCAAGCAAAUCCGUGACAUCUGCUAUGCAAUAGCUUUGGCACGUCAAGCAGAAGCAUUCUUUAAGAAGAGAGGAGAUUUGGGGAAGGAGGAACAUCUCUCAAUUCAACAUAUACUCAACAAAGGGGUUGACUAUGGGUUGGUCAGUAGAGAUUACACCCUCCUUGAGCUUGGAACAUUGGUGAAGAUAUUGCAACGAGAUGGUUUCAUUCUUGACACUGAUUGUCCCCUUACUUACUCUCUUGCUGGAACUCCCUCUGCGUCCGAUAACUCUUGUUCAACUAAAGAUCCUAUUCGUGUUUUCGAAGCUCCUCAAAUAAAAGUUAUGACUGCUGGAGAAGAGGUCCCAGAAGAAUGGAUGGUUGAGGAGAUGUUGGCUGAAUUAGAUGGAGGACCGCUCACGUUCUCUUUGCCUAUGUUCCCAUCCUACAAAACCAAAUCCAAGAAACUAGAUGACAUAUACAAGCCUACAGAAGAUGAGUUUGCAGCCUACAAGUUGGCUAAGGAUAAGGGCAAACCUUGCAAGCUAGAUUUUCAUACCAUGCUGCUUACAGGUGACGGUAUAGACAGGUAUGGGGAUCAGUAUCUUGAAUGUCAAGACUGUCUUGGUGAUAUAGAUAUUGGGGAUCGGGGUUACGUACGUUUUGCGGUCAAACCUAACACGGUAACAGAGUUCGUCUCUUUCAAGAAUGUUUGCAAUCAUGAUGAUGACUAAGUAUGAGAGAAUUCUAGCAUGCCUCGAGACCCUCAGUUAGAAAGAGAUCUGUUUCCUCAUGCAUUGUGUUGUGGUUUAAACUGAUACUUCUCGGAAACUUAGUGCUACAUUAUGGAACUUUGAAAUGUACAGAUAGGCCUGGGCAUAAAAUCCGGAACCCGAAAUCCGAACCGAACCCGAACCGAAAACCCCGACCCGUUAUCCGACCCGAAACGUAAAAAUACCCGAACGGGUUUUGUAGGGUGGUACAAAAAAUAUCCGAACCCGAAGUGUUAUUAACCGAACCCGAACGGGUAACCCGAAAAAUCCGAAAUUAAUAGUCAAUAUAAAUAUUUUGAAAUAUAUAUAAGUAUUCCAAUUAUUAAAUUCAAUAUUUGUGGUAAUAUUAUAUAUAAUAAUAAAUAUUAAAAUUCUAAUAAAUUCUUUAAGUACACAAUUAGUUAUAAAUAAGUAUUUUAUAAUUUGCUCAUUGAAAUAAAAAGUCUACUCUCUAUACGGCAAUACAUAUUGUUUACAAAUGAUGUUUGUUUUCAUGCUUGAUUUAACAUUUUAUUGUUAUUUUAUCAAUUUUAUAUGUGAUAGAUUAAUUUUUAUUUAAUUUAGAUGUUUUUCUUUAUGUUUUACUUCAAAAAUUUUGUUUUUUACUUUGGUUAUAUCUGAACCGAACCGAUAUAACCCGAAUCCGUACGAUAUAUGAUUACUUUAUGGGUUUUAUGAUGCAAUACAAUUUUGAACCGAACCCGAAGUGUUAUUAUCCGAACCCGACCCGUACUAAUAAAAUUUUAGUAUGGGACCUAGAAGCGUAAACCCGAAAAUCCAAAAAUCCGAAAAACCCGAUCCGAAUGCCCACGGGUACCCGAACGCCCAGGCCUAUGUACAGAGAAGGACAUUUACCUAGAACCAUCUACCUGGAUGUCCUUCUAGGCAGAUGGUUCUGCAUGAUAAAGUUGAAAUUGAAGGAUUUCUCGAUCUUGAGGAGGGUGUUAAGGUCGUUUGGGUUACAUAGAUCUUUGGAUGAUGCGGUGAUGAGGUACCUGAUGAAAAACAAGAAAGAAAAAAGCAGUGCGUGUUUCUCUUAUGAUCCAUGUUGUAUGGUGUUUUGUUUUGAAUAUUUUUGUUGAAAGUGUGACGUUGAUAUAUACACUAUAGAAAUUAGAUAUUUGAUUUGAUAGAAACCUUAAUAGUCAGUCAAUACGUGUGAUUAAGAUGUCCGUGUUGAUGAUUAAGAUGUCCGUGUUGAAUAUGGUUGGCUGGUAACAUGCUGGCAUUCAACAUGUGCCACUUGAGUACUACAACUCUCUCAACCAUGGCUUCUAUUUUUGAUUAUUUUAUCUAAAAAAUUAUUCAUAUGUAUGGAAAUGUUUGGGUUUAUAAUCUUA
Brassica napus (rape) is the source of this 3053-nucleotide RNA transcript. RefSeq lists it as uncharacterized. NCBI's taxonomy places the organism in Eukaryota, Viridiplantae, Streptophyta, Magnoliopsida, Brassicales, Brassicaceae. The record is from RefSeq and is a predicted model, not a curated record. The transcript is spliced from 9 exons.